Long non-coding RNA from Mauremys reevesii (Reeves's turtle), 807 nucleotides. RefSeq lists it as uncharacterized. The transcript is spliced from 3 exons. NCBI's taxonomy places the organism in Eukaryota, Metazoa, Chordata, Testudines, Geoemydidae. The record is from RefSeq and is a predicted model, not a curated record.
CAGGGCCCAAGGCGGAUCUGUACUCGCCGGCGCCGGCCAGCGAGCAUGGAUCGGACAGCUCCAUCACCGCUCUAACGUAGCCGGUCGGAGCCUCCAGACUGUGAAGACACGGACUGAUCGGGGGGGCUCCAGCCCCCCUGCCCCUCCUCAGCGUUAUCUCCCUGUUACUCCUUGUGUAGGGCCUCGGAGCUGUGCCAGGUGAACAGCCCCACGUCUCCUGCACCUCCCGCCGCCCUGGGACCCACUGCCGGGGCUGCCUGCCCCAUGCUCUGCGUGUCAGACGUGCACUGGUUAGCCCCAAUGGGCACGGCCGGCCCCAUUUGCUGCGUGGUUUAUUCAGAGUGUGAGCCCCUCGGGGCAGGGACCACGGCCUCCUUAUCUCUGGGGUGCACGGAGCCCCCGCCCAGCAGCCACUGGGGGAGGGCCGGUCAUGUGGAAAACCGCAAUUUUUGGCCCCAAACUGAACACUUCUGGCUGAAAACCGCCAAAUUCCAUGUGGCGAAGCUGCCGCCGUUGCCCGGGGGAGCUGGAGUUCGGGUGCCCCGUGCUCCCACUCGCUGUAGGCCGGGCUCCCUCGGUGCAUCAUGGGAGUCCCUGCUGGUGGGAGCAGUGCGGUCUGGGAGCCAGGACUCCUGGGUCCUAUUCCCAGCUCUGCCGCUGGCUCGCUGUGAGGCCCUGAGUGAUUCCCGUCCCCGCUCUGUGCCUCAGUUUCUCCCUCUUGAAAACAGGGAGAAUAUUUUACUUCCUGUCCUGGGGGUGGGCUUGUGAGGGUGCCUGUUACAGGGCCUUGUCCCACAGGGGUGUGUG